RNAcentral lists this long non-coding RNA (390 nucleotides) under Equus asinus (donkey). Its description in RNAcentral is "lncRNA (ENSEASG00005028146.1, ENSEASG00020036910.1)". The record is from RNAcentral. Lineage: Eukaryota; Metazoa; Chordata; Mammalia; Perissodactyla; Equidae.
AUUUUCUUUAACUUUUGUGUGUUGAAAACACCGUGCUAAUGAAAUUGGUUCCACAAGGAGCUACUGAGAACGAGGUGGAAGGGUUAGGAGAGAGAAUGACACGUCUCUGAGAUUGAGCAGAUGAAUAAAUACAAUGCGGAUUUGGGAUCCAGAAAUCUGGAAACAUAUCUACAUACAUGUUUCCUAGCUCUGCCCACUUAAGAGGUCCCAGGGCAGUGACACCCCAGUGACGGUGAGCACACUUACUACCCAGAUCUUCGUUUCCACUGAAGGGAGCCGGGGCUCCCAGGAGAAAUGGCUGACUCCAGGCUGCGCCAGGCAGAGUACAAGACGAGCUGGAACAUCUCGUGCCCAAGAGCAGGAAGGUACCCAGAGAAGGAUGGAGACACG